GUAGGUGGCAAGCGUUGUCCGGAAUUAUCGGGCGUAAAGCGCGCGCAGGCGGUUCUUUAAGUCUGAUGUGAAAGCCCACGGCUCAACCGUGGAGGGUCAUUGGAAACUGGAGAACUUGAGUACAGAAGAGGAAAGCGGAAUUCCACGUGUAGCGGUGAAAUGCGUAGAGAUGUGGAGGAACACCAGUGGCGAAGGCGGCUUUCUGGUCUGUAACUGACGCUGAGGCGCGAAAGCGUGGGGAGCAAACAGGAUUAGAUACCCUGGUAGUCCACGCCGUAAACGAUGAGUGCUAAGUGUUAGGGGGUUUCCGCCCCCCUUAGUGCUGCAGCUAACGCAUUAAGCACUCCGCCUGGGAGUACGGCCGCAAGGCUG
Molecule: ribosomal RNA, 372 nt
Filed under: uncultured organism
Description: partial 16S ribosomal RNA
Rfam family: Bacterial small subunit ribosomal RNA
Source: RNAcentral